AUUAGUUUUUAGAUUAUUUAUAGUCUAUUAAUUCAAUCCCGGGGCGUUCUAUAUAGUUAUGUAUAAUAAUAUUUAUAUUAUUUAUACCUCUAACUAGAGCGUACCUUGAGCAUAUAUGCUGUGACCCGAAAGAUGGUGAACUAUACUUGAUCAGGUUGAAGUCAGGGGAAACCCUGAUGGAAGACCGAAACAGUUCUGACGUGCAAAUCGAUUGUCAGAAUUGAGUAUAGGGGCGAAAGACCAAUCGAACCAUCUAGUAGCUGGUUCCCUCCGAAGUUUCCCUCAGGAUAGCUGGUGCAUUUAAAUAUUAUGUAAAAUAAUCUUAUCUGGUAAAGCGAAUGAUUAGAGGCCUUAGGGUCGAAACGACCUUAACCUAUUCUCAAACUUUAAAUGGGUAAGAACCUCACCUUUCUUGGUAUGAAGGUUGUGGUUGUGAUAUAAUGUGCCCAGUGGGCCACUUUUGGUAAGCAGAACUGGCGCUGUGGGAUGAACCAAACGUAAUGUUACGGUGCCCAAAUUAACAACUCAUGCAGAUACCAUGAAAGGCGUUGGUUGCUUAAAACAGCAGGACGGUGGACAUGGAAGUCGUAAUCCGC
Molecule: ribosomal RNA, 596 nt
Filed under: Ravinia lherminieri
Lineage: Eukaryota; Metazoa; Arthropoda; Insecta; Diptera; Sarcophagidae
Description: eukaryotic LSU rRNA
Rfam family: Eukaryotic large subunit ribosomal RNA
Source: RNAcentral